Molecule: long non-coding RNA, 1108 nt
Filed under: Triticum aestivum (bread wheat)
Lineage: Eukaryota; Viridiplantae; Streptophyta; Magnoliopsida; Poales; Poaceae
Description: long non-coding RNA (TAES_LNC023055)
Source: RNAcentral
UAAAGUACUGCAAGAUAAAGGGAUUAAUUGCACUAAGCCUUCUCAAAUAUGUAUGCCCCAUUAUCUACUAUUCUAGUAAAAAAGAGAUAAACAAAGAAGUUUUUCAUUUAAAAACUAUAAGAACAUGUGUGAUGUUCUCACCAGCAAUUUUCUCAGGUGUUACGACAUUUUCUGUAGAAAGCCAACAAUAAGCUUGUUGUUCUCCAGCUGCUUAUUUUUCAGGGACACCUUCUUGUUCUUUAUUCAUAGAGUCCCCUUCUUCCUUAUCCUUUCCCCUUGUUAUAAUCCUGUAUAGUAGAAUUCCUGCCAUCAGUGUGCAACACUGAUUAAUUGUAUGCUAAUAAAAGAAUAUGUAAGGUACAUAAGCGUUUGUAUAGCAAAAAAAGAAGAAGCUCUGUCUAGCUAAGCUGUGGGUUAGUGGUUAACAUGGAUGAAAAAAUACAUCAGCACAUCCUAGCCAGUCAUUGUCAUGACAAUGAUAGCAAGAAAAACAGUCAUGCAUCAACAAACUAAAAAUACGGGAAGUUUCAGCGCUCUAGCUCCCUUGUUCAUUGAGUGUGCAGAAGGAUCGAAUGAUCCAUGAUGCUGAAAGUGAAAUAAAGUUGACUGCAUUAUGAGCAAGAUGACAGGGCAAACUGGAAACGGCGACCAAGAUCAACAAGAACCGAGUGAUCACAAUUUACAACUGAUAAUUGAUGGUGCAAAAGUACGCGAAAAGUAAAGAAACAUGUCCUGAUGUCCAUAACUCUCUGUUCUGAUUGCAUUAUCAGCAAGUUUAUUUUCUUCCUGCUUUCUGAAUUUACAAUUGUUGCCAGUACAAUUUUUGGCUUGAAUAUAUUACUUCAGUUUGGCAAGAUACGACCGAAAAGAAUUUCUGCUGAAUUGUGUGAUAAAAAAAAGUGGGAGAUGAGGGGCAAUAUAAAGUGGGAGAUGGAUCAACUAAUGAAUAGAAUGGCCGAUGCACCCUUAUACUAAUUAAAACAUUGGAGUAACAAGUAAGGACUUCUGAAUUUGGAAAGGGGCAAAAGACCUCACCCAUUUGAUUCCAUGGUGGAGGCGUGGAGCAGCCUCCGAUGCACCUACUUGACCGACAAGAUGACAACGAGUG